AUGAUUAUUUCAGAGAGAAGGCAAGGUCCAUUAUUUCAUUUUUUAGAGAAUUCUAAUCGUAGUGAAAUGCUCAGGGUGAAGAUACUGGCAAGGAACAAAAUGGAAUUAAUAUCCAUUCAGUUCCCAUUGACUGCCAGAAAAUGGGAUAGAUGUCCUACAUGUUCAGAAUCUCAGGUGAUUAUCGUAAGAACCUGGUCUAAAGGCCACCCUGGCAAACCAAGAACACAGAAUUUUAUUACAGCUGCUGGAUAUGAAGACUCAGCAUAUGAUAUCGGCUGUGCAUGUAGGAGUCCCAGAUGCUUCUCAGGGUCUCUGAGAGGAUACAAAGGUACUGAGGGGGCCGGUGAGCACAGCACCUGGGAUUUGGAUGAGAAGCUGCAGGAAAGGAACUUUACAUCCCAAGGACAUGGUGUGGAGUCAAUAGUGCGAGGUCAUCCUGGGGAUGAGAAGGAGGAAGAGAGAGAAACACAGAAAAGCCUAAGCAGGCACCACAAAGAGACCGAGCCCAUCUGA
Molecule: long non-coding RNA, 513 nt
Filed under: Piliocolobus tephrosceles (Ugandan red Colobus)
Lineage: Eukaryota; Metazoa; Chordata; Mammalia; Primates; Cercopithecidae
Description: lncRNA (ENSPTEG00000004867.1)
Source: RNAcentral